Molecule: unclassified non-coding RNA, 254 nt
Filed under: rhizosphere metagenome
Description: partial ribosomal RNA internal transcribed spacer region
Source: RNAcentral
GUAGGUGAACCUGCGGAAGGAUCAUUACAGAGAGGGGUCUCCGGACUCCGGGGGCUUCGGCCCCCAACUCUUCACCCUUUGUUUACAUACCUUUGUUGCUUUGGCGGGCCUUGGGGUUCGCCCCAUGGCGGCUCCGGGCUUCGUUGCCCGGCCGUCUCGCGCCCGUCAGAGACCCACCAAACUCCGUUUAUCAGUGUCGUCCGAGCAAAAAACACAAUAGAAAAAAACUUUCAACAACGGAUCUCUUGGUUCUG